GAGCUUACCGCGUUUAAGUGUGGUUAGCUUGAUCAAAACUUCCAUGAUGGUGUCGUUUUCGUGUUUUUCGUGAAGGAGUAGCGGAUAUUUUCACCCGAUACGCCGAGAUGCCCGAGAAGCAAGGAAAACUCAAGCUCAACAUCUGUUCCAUCAACCUCAACCUCAACCCCACUGUCCAGUGACAGUAGCAGAAAGAGGA
Long non-coding RNA from Dreissena polymorpha, 199 nucleotides. RefSeq lists it as uncharacterized. The transcript is spliced from 3 exons. Lineage: Eukaryota; Metazoa; Mollusca; Bivalvia; Myida; Dreissenidae. The record is from RefSeq and is a predicted model, not a curated record.